GCCCGGCUAGCUCAAUCGGUAGAGCGUGAGACUCUUAAGGAGUACUCCGAAUAAUAAUAUCUCAAGGUUGUGGGUUCGACCCCCACGUCGGGCU
This is a non-coding RNA of Cladorrhinum sp. PSN332, 94 nucleotides long. The record is from the annotation of a GenBank genome assembly. NCBI's taxonomy places the organism in Eukaryota, Fungi, Ascomycota, Sordariomycetes, Sordariales, Podosporaceae.